GGAAUACUUUGGUGAAGAAAACAGACCAACACCCUGUCCUCAUAAACUUACUUUCUCAUGGGAAAGGACUAAGCUCACAGGAACACAGAAGAAAGGAGACAAUAGCAGCUGCACAUAGUCUGGUUGGGAGGAUAAAAUAGCGUGCUAUGGAAACACAUUCAUCAUUUUAUCUCCAGCAGCCUGGAAUCUGCUUUAGAGAAAACGCUCCCCAAAUGGUUAUUGAAUGAAUGAGUGAUGACCACCCCAGCCCCCAUCUCCCCGUGGGUAAAGCCCUUCCCAUUCUCUGGGCCAUGGGCUCCUCAUCAGUUCACAGAGAUGUUGUCUAAGGGCCCCCGACUGCUGGCAUCUGGUGACUGAUGUGACAGUAGCAUGUCUGGGUUGGGGGAAGGCCUGCUCACCCCAAUGGGGCCUUUGCGUCAGUCCCCAUUGCUGGCUGCGGGGCGAUAUCGCCCAGAGACAACUGCUCCCACA
Long non-coding RNA from Mustela lutreola (European mink), 471 nucleotides. RefSeq lists it as uncharacterized. The transcript is spliced from 3 exons. The record is from RefSeq and is a predicted model, not a curated record. NCBI's taxonomy places the organism in Eukaryota, Metazoa, Chordata, Mammalia, Carnivora, Mustelidae.